GGCAGCUGUGGAUCAUGAUCGAGUUCUGUCCUGGGGGAGCUGUGGACGCCAUCAUGCUGGAGCUAGACAGAGGCCUCACGGAGCCCCAGAUUCAGGUGGUUUGCCGCCAGAUGCUGGAAGCCCUCAACUUUCUGCACGGCAAGAAGAUCAUCCACCGGGAUCUGAAAGCUGGCAACGUACUGAUGACCCUCGAGGGAGACAUCA
This is a non-coding RNA of Leptonychotes weddellii (Weddell seal), 204 nucleotides long. Lineage: Eukaryota; Metazoa; Chordata; Mammalia; Carnivora; Phocidae. The record is from RefSeq and is a predicted model, not a curated record.